Molecule: ribosomal RNA, 466 nt
Filed under: uncultured bacterium
Lineage: Bacteria
Description: SSU rRNA
Rfam family: Bacterial small subunit ribosomal RNA
Source: RNAcentral
AGGACGAACGCUGGCGGCGUGCCUAACACAUGCAAGUUGAGCGACGAACCAGGGCUUGCCCUGGGGCAGAGCCGCGAACGGGUGAGUAACACGUGGGUUACCUACCCCGAUGACCGGGACAACCCGAGGAAACUCGGGCUAAUACCGGAUGUGGUCCUCGGACUAAAGGAAGCUUCGGCCUCCGCAUCGGGAUGGGCCCGCGGCGCAUUAGCUUGUUGGUGGGGUAACGGCCUACCAAGGCGACGAUGCGUAGCUGGUCUGAGAGGACGAUCAGCCACACUGGGACUGAGACACGGCCCAGACUCCUACGGGAGGCAGCAGUGGGGAAUAUUGGACAAUGGGCGCAAGCCUGAUCCGGCAAUGCCGCGUGUGUGAAGAAGGUCUUCGGAUUGUAAAAGCACUUUCGGCGGGGACGAUGAUGACGGUACCGCAGAAGAAGCCCGGCUAACUUCGUGCCAGCAGCCGC